AGGCUUAACACAUGCAAGUCGAACGCUCCUUUCGGGGUGAGUGGCAGACGGGUGAGUAACGCGUGGGAACAUGCCCUUCAGUUCGGAAUAACCCAGGGAAACUUGGGCUAAUACCGGAUACGCCCUUUUGGGGAAAGAUUUAUUGCUGAAGGAUUGGCCCGCGUCUGAUUAGCUAGUUGGUGAGGUAAAGGCUCACCAAGGCGACGAUCAGUAGCUGGUCUGAGAGGAUGAUCAGCCACACUGGGACUGAGACACGGCCCAGACUCCUACGGGAGGCAGCAGUGGGGAAUAUUGGACAAUGGGCGCAAGCCUGAUCCAGCCAUGCCGCGUGAGUGAUGAAGGCCUUAGGGUUGUAAAGCUCUUUCGGCGGGGACGAUAAUGACGGUACCCGCAGAAGAAGCCCCGGCUAACUUCGUGCCAGCAGCCGCGGUAAUACGAAGGGGGCUAGCGUUGUUCGGAAUCACUGGGCGUAAAGGGCGCGUAGGCGGCCAUAUAAGUCGGGGGUGAAAGCCUGUGGCUCAACCACAGAAUUGCCUUCGAUACUGUAUGGCUCGAGACCGGAAGAGGUAAGUGGAACUGCGAGUGUAGAGGUGA
This 594-nucleotide ribosomal RNA is filed under the name uncultured bacterium. RNAcentral's name for it is "bacterial SSU rRNA". It matches the Rfam family "Bacterial small subunit ribosomal RNA", at positions 44 to 684 of the family's 1533-position model. The record is from RNAcentral.